Molecule: transfer RNA, 73 nt
Filed under: Bradyrhizobium ottawaense
Lineage: Bacteria; Pseudomonadati; Pseudomonadota; Alphaproteobacteria; Hyphomicrobiales; Nitrobacteraceae
Description: tRNA-Arg
Source: RNAcentral
GCUUCCCAGUAUCAAGGAAGUCAUCGGAUUUCGAUUCCGAGGGUCGGGAGUUCGAAUCUCUCCGAGCGCGCCA